This 463-nucleotide ribosomal RNA is filed under the name uncultured bacterium. Its description in RNAcentral is "SSU rRNA". It matches the Rfam family "Bacterial small subunit ribosomal RNA", at positions 26 to 518 of the family's 1533-position model. The record is from RNAcentral.
AGGAUUAACGCUGGCGGCGUGCCUAACACAUGCAAGUCGAACGAGGUAGCAAUACCUAGUGGCAGACGGGUGAGUAACGCGUGGUCAACCUACCGUUGAGUGGGGGAUAACUAACCGAAAGGUUAGCUAAUACCGCAUACGUGUCCGAGGGGCAUCCCUUGGCCAUAAAAGGAGCAAUCCGCUCGAUGACGGGACCGCGUCCCAUUAGCUAGUUGGUGGGGUAACGGCCUACCAAGGCACCGAUGGGUAGCUGGUUUGAGAGAGCGACCAGCCACACUGGGACUGAGAAACGGCCCAGACUCCUACGGGAGGCAGCAGUGAGGAAUUUUCCGCAAUGGGCGAAAGCCUGACGGAGCGACGCCGCGUGUGGGAAGAAGGCCUUCGGGUCGUAAACCACUGUCGAAGGGGACGAUAAUGACGGUACCCUUGGAGGAAGCCCGGCUAACUACGUGCCAGCAGCCGC